Molecule: ribosomal RNA, 286 nt
Filed under: Klebsiella aerogenes
Lineage: Bacteria; Pseudomonadati; Pseudomonadota; Gammaproteobacteria; Enterobacterales; Enterobacteriaceae
Description: partial 23S ribosomal RNA
Rfam family: Bacterial large subunit ribosomal RNA
Source: RNAcentral
GGGUUGUGAGGUUAAGCGACUAAGCGUACACGGUGGAUGCCCUGGCAGUCAGAGGCGAUGAAGGACGUGCUAAUCUGCGAAAAGCGUCGGUAAGGUGAUAUGAACCGUUACAGCCGGCGAUGUCCGAAUGGGGAAACCCAGUGCAAUUCGUUGCACUAUCGUUAACUGAAUACAUAGGUUAACGAGGCGAACCGGGGGAACUGAAACAUCUAAGUACCCCGAGGAAAAGAAAUCAACCGAGAUUCCCCCAGUAGCGGCGAGCGAACGGGGAGCAGCCCAGAGUCUG